Molecule: long non-coding RNA, 2993 nt
Organism: Triticum urartu
Lineage: Eukaryota; Viridiplantae; Streptophyta; Magnoliopsida; Poales; Poaceae
Source: RefSeq, a predicted model, not a curated record
UCCUCUUUCAGGUGGCUCUGAGAUAACGCUGCAAAAAAGACCCGUGCGGAACGAGCGGCUGUGGGCGGCGGAACGACGGCGGCAGCUGCUUGCAAUGGCCGGGUCCGUGCACGGCAGGAGCUGGGGAGGUCGAUUCGGAGGCGGGCGGCAGCCCCGGGGUCGCCAGUGACGUUGUGGAAGGCCGGGGCGUGGCUUCCUGGGUGGAUACAUGGCAUCUGCGGCUCUUGGGCAAAAAAGAAGAAUAGAGGUGAGGGAGAGAAGAAGGGAGAAAGGAGGGGAGGUGCGGCGUCCUAGGCGGGAGCUGGUCGGAGCGGGGCGACGGUGGGCUGGCGCAGGAGACGGAGGGAUUUAGAGCCGGCCGGUCGAGCGACACCAACCAGGCCACAGGUGGCGUACACUUUCAGCAGAAAAUGGACCACAACGAUGAACCAACUACUAUUCAGGAUUUUGAUAACCGGCCUUAACAAAAAACAUUCUGAAUUGAGUGUUUUGCAUUCAGAUAAACUAAUAGAUGGUGAUGAAUUUCCAUCACCAACUAUUUCAACAUCAUCUUUGGUCUUCAGAACCAGAUAGACACAUGAACCUCUGCCACCACUGUUAAGAAGUACCUCAGGUGAACUAUUAGCACUGCCUGUCGUCCAACAAUAACAAGCUCAGGUGUUGUAUAUGUAACCAGUUAAUAUACGUGCAAAACUUGCACAUACCCAGAAGCUGGCUGCCAGAUGAUUCCUACGAGAGAACGGACGUACUUACGCAGAUUGCUAUGGAUGUGAAGAAAUCACAUGAAGGAAGAAAACUUGCUCGGAUGCAUGGAGACAAAAACGGUGAUGCAGGGGGCAGCAACAGCGGGACGAGGUAGGCGACGAGCGAUAGAGGCCGAGGUUGGUCUAGCAGGGGCGCUGCAAGGCGACCGAGGAGAGAAGAAGAUGGGCGGCGCUCGAGGAAAUAAGAUGAUGGACGAGUCAGAGGAGACGGCCGGGGGAGGUGGCACUCGAGAUGGAUGCGGCAGCAGGAGGGGUUUGGAAUGGGGCACUAGGGUCAGGCGGGGGAGGCCGUCUUCUGCGUGCUGGUGGCCUCUCCUCCUGGCGGGUUUUUACCCCGUUCACGCACACAUCCAAUCAGCGUUACGGCGGAGACGGCAAAAGAAGCGCUCCACGUGACCACCGGCACUAGCCUCCUCAGCCGUCAGGGAUGAAGGCACCAUGCACCGGGUGUAGGCGGUAGCAAGAACGUCGGCAGCUGCAGACACAAGUUUGCCACAUUGUCAUUCAUCGCCGAGACCAUUAUGUUUCUUUUCAUGGGAUAGACGAGGUGGUUCUUGACUUCUGACCCCUCUCAUCGAUCUUCGACGACGCGCCCAACCGUGGGCCCGCGCGGUCAAAGUUGUGCAUUGGAAUUUUGAACAUCACAGACCACCCGUUUCACUCAUAUAUAUUUGGGCCACAUGCUGGUGUGGCUGUCUUCUGACCCUCUCUAACGUUAUUUUUUGCUGCAAAGACUCUGAUGACGCUCAACGGACACGGAUAUAAUACCUUAACUAUGUGCGAUACAAGUGUGCUGUGAAUCACCACGCCUGCGCAAGCGCAAGCAAAGGUGGAGGUACUGGCUCAACCAUGUGCGAUGCAAGUGCACUGUAAAAUCACCACGACCAUGCAAGCGCGAGCAAAGGGUGGAGGUACUAGCUUAACCGUGUGCGAUGCAAGUGCGCUGUAAAACCACCACCUGUGCAAGCUAAAGGCGGGUAAGUUUAUUUGGAAAUUAGGAUGAACGGUGUGUGAUAGACCAGCUAGCUAGAAAUAUAAAAAGAAACUACCCGCCUUGAGCGUUGCAAAAAUCCGCGGUUCCCUGCCACUUUUCCUUAUUAUCAUACACGCAUAUUGCUAUUGGACCAUGCACGUUCUUGGGCACUCCCGCAACACAUCAAUUCCUUUAUCCAAAUUUUAGUAGCCAUCGUACUUCAACCAUCGCCCACACUCCUUUAGCAUCGACCUUAUAGAAAAAUUGCAGUAGUCGAGGCAUUUGAACCGUUGCCCUCCCUCGUCCACCACCAUCUCCAUCCACAAUUACUAUAAUUUUCAGUACUCGCGGCAUAUCCUCAAACACCAACUCCCCCUCCACAGUCCCUCACCCGCCCCCUUCCCGCCUCGAACCCUAGCUCACGGCCGCCGCCGUCGCCGUCGCCAACCCCUGCCGGUCUGCCUGUUCCUCCUAGCUUAGAUAGUAAAGUUCAGGUUACCCAACGAUUCCCAUACCGUCGCCCCACUCCCCUGAGUUUUUAGAUGAGGCCUGCGAUGUCCCUCCCUGACAGAUCCACAUCCGUUGCUCCAGAAUGUCGCAGCCUAAGCUCGACCACAUAUCUCGGGGAGCCCGACGAGCGUUCGGCCAAGAAGAGGUUUAUCAUGGCCUCUCCGGUGGAUGUUGGCGAGGUGACCGCCGUUCGCCCUGACCUGUCGAUCCCGGAGCAACACGUCGCUGCGGAAGCCGGUGAAGACAUUGAAUAUGUUGCCAUGCCGAUGGCUUCAUGUCAGCGGGCUAGCGUAUUACUGUAUCUCGGGAAACCUGGCUACAACAUCAAGAUCGGCCACAGCGACGGCUUCAUGCGGGCCAUGUCACAGGUUAAGUGGUCCAUCCCCAACCCCUCUGGUUCAACUGCCGUCGAUCUCUUCGACGGCCCUGCCGUUGAUCUCCUCUGCCAAGCGGUCAAGGAUUUGCGAGCUUUAUACGCCAUCGAGCCCAUUUUGUCAUUUUUGAAGGACACGUUCUACGGCGACGGCUUGGGAUCCUCAAUUGACAAGUCAGCUCUCAUGGACCACGACCACGAGGAGGGCACCCACGAAGGUUCUUCCAAGGUGAAAUAGCCCAUCUGUGACAUCAGAGAGCGCACCAUGGGUCUGUGCUCUUCCAACUAGAAGGAUCCUGUCGAUGAAAUGUGAGGCAACAUUCUAUCAGCAAAUCUUACCUUUUCUAGCUUGCCAACCCGUACCCUUUGUUGU